Molecule: long non-coding RNA, 1773 nt
Organism: Scylla paramamosain (green mud crab)
Lineage: Eukaryota; Metazoa; Arthropoda; Malacostraca; Decapoda; Portunidae
Exons: 4
Source: RefSeq, a predicted model, not a curated record
CAAUAUUAUCCCUUGUGGCACUGCAGGCACCUCCCGGCAGGCACCAAGCUUGCACCAGCACACGCAGGCACCCACCACGGCCCCUGUCACUGUCUUGUUCUGCCAAAAUACGUUAAAUAAAGCAGCAGUUUAUGGCACCCUUUUAACCUAGUGCCUUGUGUCUGACGUCUGGUUGUGUGGUCUGUCCCAGCCUGCUCCGCACAGUACGCAGGCAAACCUAUCCACAAGACACUUUUAGCUUUCAAUAACAAGCACCAACUUCUUUUAUAUUAUACUAAACUAAUAGAAAAUUAAAUAUAAAGAAUUAUAAGCGUGUAGAAAUAAAUCUCAGGCCAUUAUAACUGUAAUUGUCAAAGUAUCUAGAUGUUACUGAUUGAAGCGCCAAAUUCAAACUUGUCCUGGCGGGGCUUGCACUGCAAUGUCUCGUCCCUUGUGUGGCGUAAUGUGAAAUCAUUGAAAAGCUUGUGUGAAUUGAAGGCUUGGCUUAAUACUGUGUUAUAUCUCAGCUUAUCAUUAUUAAGUAUUUACCAUUUGACGUUAAAAAACAACAAUACUUCACAGAGAUAUCCAAGUAUAACAGAGGCUUCCAUACUGUAGCUAAUGAUCAACAGAGAAUUACCAGCCUUUCUCUGUGUGUCAAGGAGAGCCCUUAGGGAAACGUUCGUGUGCGUGUGUGUGUGUGUGUGUGUGGUAUGGAAAGAUAUAAUUGCUUAAGUACAGCCUCUCUCUCUCUCUCUCUCUCUCUCUCUCUCUCUCUCUCUCUCUCUCUCUCUCUCUCUCUCUCUACGUAUUUUGCUUGUCUGCCCUCGUGUGUGUGUGUGUGUGUAUCUCAUUUAUUUAUUUAAGUUAUUUUUCCACAGUGAUGUAACGCCCUUAGGGAAACGUUCGUGUGCGUGUGUGUGUGUGUGUGUGGUAUGGAAAGAUAUAAUUGCUUAAGUACAGCCUCUCUCUCUCUCUCUCUCUCCAUAUUUUGCCUGUCUGCCCUCGUGUGUGUGUGUGUGUGUGUAUCUCAUUUAUUUAUUUAAGUUAUUUUUCUUCUUCACGCAGAUAGUAAUUGACGAACACAACACACCACGUGGAGAGAAGCAAGGUGUGGAGUACCCAAGCCUCUCACAGUCCAUGCUAGUAGACUCACCCUGCAUGUGGAGAUCUCCCAAAAUGCACGGAGGUUAUUCCAGAGCUGCAGGACAGAGUACUUGAGGCCAUUGGUGAACAGAAAGCUGAGGUUGAACAAAGCCAAGAAUUGAUAGCUGCCCAAGGUGUAAGCAAGAUUCACAAUGAUGAGGUCAUUGUGACGUGUGCAAUGUGUCCACUGGUCUUGGCCUUCCUGACCAAGGCAGCCACACAAAGGAAAUUCCACGUUAUUGUUGCCGAACGUGCCCCUAAAUAUGAUGGUCACCCAGUGGCAAAAGCUUUAUGUACUGCUGGAAUUGAGACAACAUUAAUUCAAGACUCUGCAGUGUUCCCCAUCAUGUCACGUGUCAACAAGGUCAUCAAAGGUCAUCGUUGGCACCGAGACGGUGGUGACCAACGGAGGCAUUGAGACCUUUGUUGGUGCAGCCUCUCUUGCCUCACCACCAAAGUUUUAUUCUGUUCCACUGUAUGUGUGCACUCCCACAUACAAAUUUAGCUUGAUGGGCUGUGAAGAAAUAAGCCACCAAACCACCACUUCUAUUAUCCCAGAGGGAACAAAGUUUUGGCCGUCUGUAAAUACUGCGCUGACUCAGCUAGAUUACGUUCCUCCAGAAAAUGUCACCAGUUUGAUAACUAACA